Molecule: ribosomal RNA, 444 nt
Filed under: uncultured bacterium
Lineage: Bacteria
Description: partial 16S ribosomal RNA
Rfam family: Bacterial small subunit ribosomal RNA
Source: RNAcentral
CCUACGGGAGGCAGCAGUGGGGAAUAUUGGGCAAUGGAGGAAACUCUGACCCAGCAAUGCCGCGUGAAUGAAGAAGGUCCUCGGAUUGUAAAGUUCUUUAGUCAGGGAAGAAUAAAAUGACGGUACCUGAAGAAUAAGCUCCGGCUAACUACGUGCCAGCAGCCGCGGCGAUACGUAGGGAGCAAGCGUUGUUCGGAAUGACUGGGCGUAAAGGGUGCGUAGGCGGUUAUACAAGUUAGAAGUGAAAUACCCCGGGCUUAACUCGGGUGCUGCUUCUAAAACUGUAAGACUUGAGUGCAGUAGAGGUUAGUGGAAUGCCUAGUGUAGCGGUGGAAUGCGUAGAUAUUAGGAAGAACACCAGAGGCGAAGGCGGCUAACUGGACUGCAACUGACGCUGAGGCACGAAAGUGUGGGGAGCGAACAGGAUUAGAUACCCUAGUAGUC